GAUGAACGCUGGCGGCGUGCCUAAUACAUGCAAGUCGAGCGAACAGACGAGGAGCUUGCUCCUCUGACGUUAGCGGCGGACGGGUGAGUAACACGUGGAUAACCUACCUAUAAGACUGGGAUAACUUCGGGAAACCGGAGCUAAUACCGGAUAAUAUAUUGAACCGCAUGGUUCAAUAGUGAAAGACGGUUUUGCUGUCACUUAUAGAUGGAUCCGCGCCGCAUUAGCUAGUUGGUAAGGUAACGGCUUACCAAGGCAACGAUGCGUAGCCGACCUGAGAGGGUGAUCGGCCACACUGGAACUGAGACACGGUCCAGACUCCUACGGGAGGCAGCAGUAGGGAAUCUUCCGCAAUGGGCGCACGCCUGCCGGAGCCCCGCCGCGUGAGUGAUGAAGGUCUUCGGAUCGUAAAACUCUGUUAUUAGGGAAGAACAAAUGUGUAAGUAACUAUGCACGUCUUGACGGUACCUAAUCAGAAAGCCACGGCUAACUACGUG
This 497-nucleotide ribosomal RNA is filed under the name uncultured bacterium. RNAcentral describes it as "partial 16S ribosomal RNA". It matches the Rfam family "Bacterial small subunit ribosomal RNA", at positions 28 to 507 of the family's 1533-position model. The record is from RNAcentral.